UGGGUGACUGCUCAGACGACU
Molecule: microRNA, 21 nt
Filed under: Gadus morhua (Atlantic cod)
Lineage: Eukaryota; Metazoa; Chordata; Actinopteri; Gadiformes; Gadidae
Description: gmo-miR-11931-3p
Source: miRBase by way of RNAcentral